Molecule: transfer RNA, 73 nt
Filed under: Cryptomonas paramaecium
Lineage: Eukaryota; Cryptophyceae; Cryptomonadales; Cryptomonadaceae
Description: Cryptomonas paramecium tRNA-Arg
Rfam family: tRNA
About the family: Transfer RNA (tRNA) molecules are approximately 80 nucleotides in length.
Source: RNAcentral
GGGUUCAUCGUCUAAUGGAUAAGGACAGGGAUCUUCUAAGUCUCCAAUGUAGGUUCGAUUCCUACUGAGCCUA